AUGAACGGGACCGUGAACCCGCUACUGGACCUCGAGGAACAUUGUCUGCGGCUCGGGGAGAGCUUCGAGAAGCGGCCGUGGGCCUCCUCCACACCAUUCGCUAUGAUUUUAAGCCAGCAUCUAUAGACACUUCCUGUGAAGGAGAGCUUCAGGUUGGCAAAGGAUAUGAAGUCACAAUUACACUGCCACAUAUCCCUAGCUGAGGGGAGCAGUAAAAUCCAGGCCUGAAUGGAACAGCAGCCUACUCGAACCGAACCCCACAGCCAUCACAGCCACCACCACCUCCACCACCUAUGCCAUUCAGAGCUCCAAUGAAGCCUCCAGUGGGACCCAAAACGUCUCCCGUAAAAGAUAACCCCUCACCUGAACCUCAGUUGGAUGAUAUCAAAAGAGAACUGAGAGCCGAAGUCGACGUUAUUGAACAGAUGAGCAGCAGCAGUGGGAGCAGCUCCUCAGACUCUGAGAGCUCCUCGGGAAGUGAUGACGAUAGCUCCAGCAGUGGAGGCGAGGACAAUGGCCCAGCCUCUCCUCCACAGCCUUCACACCAGCAGCCCUACAACAGCAGGCCUGCCAUUGCCAAUGGAACCAGCCGGCCACAAGGAAGCAACCAGCUCAUGAACACCCUCAGAAAUGACUUGCAGUUGAGUGAGUCUGGCAGUGACAGUGAUGACUAGCACUGGAUCUUUCAAAAUCGACUUUUUGGUGCACAAACAUGCUACAAGACCGGGCUACUUUAGCAUGGAGUCCAUUGCCAAGAGGAAAAUGUUAUGAAUCAGUGACUGUAGUAGGAGUUUGGGGCUCUGGAGCUCUCAGAUAUUCAAACCUUUAACUUAGUGGUGAUGGGUGAUUUUCUCAUGUAAUUUUUGAACAAUCUCAUGUUUCAAAGUAGAUCUAUAGAAGAACUAACAGAAUUACAUUUCUAUUUAGUUAACAUUGUUAAUGAGAAAUAGACAAAUGUGCCCUGGUCUAGGUUACUCAAAGGCUAUGUCUUCACCAGGCCAGUCAGUUUGGCUAAGUGGUUUGCACCAGUGAAAUGAAACAGUCUUUGAGGGGAUAGGAGAGAAGGGUAAACCUCAAACUACAUCACCAAAAUAUGUUAAAACCACUUUAAAUUGUUGACACAAAGUGGUAAGGAAGUUAUCUGACCCAGCCUAACAAGCCUGGGUAGAAAUGGAUUUCAAGACUGAGUGCUUGUGUGUCAGCUGGUUAGGAACUAGGAGACCUGGCUAGCUCAACCCCCCAUUUACAGACUAGGAAAAGGAAGCACACAGCCAGCUAUGGCAGUCUCCUGUGUACUGCCUGCCCUUUCCCGGGCUUUUCUCUCUCUUGAAUCUCUUUUGUUGGAAUCAGAGAUUUCUUAUACAUGGAACUUUUAGAUGUACAUUGAAGCUUCGAUUUGAUUCCAAAAGACAAAAGUGUUGGGUACUUCUAGCUUGAAUUCAGAUCCACACAGUCCCUAAACACUUGAGGCUGGAUGAGCAGCAGAUUAAAUCAGCAGCUUCUAUGCUGAUGCAUGUGACUGAAUUAAAUUGGGACUUUUGGUUCCAUGUGGAUCCAUAAUUAGUAUUCUUCAUUGAGUGGAUUUUAGCAGGGGGAGAUAUGAGUAGAAGAGAGGUGUAGUGAAGAACCUCUCUGAACAAAUGAACCAGCAGUAAGUUUCCAAAAACCAGAAUCUAGGUAGGAGUUCUGCAGUGUGAAAUGACACAUUCUUUGAUAGGGGAUUUCUGUUCAUGCUAUUGUACCACUGUUUGUGCCUGACUCCCAGACUGAUUUGUAUUUUUUAUAUA
This is a non-coding RNA of Microcebus murinus (gray mouse lemur), 1787 nucleotides long. Lineage: Eukaryota; Metazoa; Chordata; Mammalia; Primates; Cheirogaleidae. The record is from RefSeq and is a predicted model, not a curated record.